GUUUGGGUGCCGGCGGUGACGGGGGCGCGGCGGCAGAGACAACACUGCUGAGCUGGGCCUUGGCUCUGUUGGGUUUUUGCUGCCCAGUGCUGAACGAGCGGCUCCACAACACAAGGGAGUAAAAUUACGGAUUAAAAGAAGGUCUAAGACCGGGGGAGCAGGACGAAGGAAGCAGUUGGU
Long non-coding RNA from Pipra filicauda (Wire-tailed manakin), 180 nucleotides. RefSeq lists it as uncharacterized. Lineage: Eukaryota; Metazoa; Chordata; Aves; Passeriformes; Pipridae. The record is from RefSeq and is a predicted model, not a curated record. The transcript has 3 exons.